Molecule: regulatory RNA element, 106 nt
Organism: Clostridium sp. CAG:448
Lineage: Bacteria; Bacillati; Bacillota; Clostridia; Eubacteriales; Clostridiaceae
Rfam family: TPP riboswitch aptamer (THI element)
About the family: Vitamin B(1) in its active form thiamin pyrophosphate (TPP) is an essential coenzyme that is synthesised by coupling of pyrimidine and thiazole moieties in bacteria.
Source: Rfam
GAAAUAAAACGGGGGUGCUGUCGAAAGGACGGCUGAGACGCGCGGUGCGCGAACCCUUUCACCUGAUACGGAUAAUGCCGGCGUAGGUAGAAAAUGCGGGGAGACC